RNAcentral lists this long non-coding RNA (222 nucleotides) under Homo sapiens (human). RNAcentral's name for it is "HSALNT0107240". The record is from RNAcentral. Lineage: Eukaryota; Metazoa; Chordata; Mammalia; Primates; Hominidae.
UGGGAGGCCAAGGCGGGAAAAGAGGAAAGAACAAGGCUGACCAUCAAGGCUGGACAUCCCUUUCAGUUCUUUUGAGAACAGACUAGUUGGCUAGAUGUGAAGAAAACAAGCUUUGGAGUAAUCUUCCCUCUGCACAGCCUGUGAUAUUGGGAUCCAGUGAGUGACGGUGAGAGGUGGAGAUGUAUGAACGAGACCUGAGACGUUGGACCUGAACAUCACAGC